Unclassified non-coding RNA from Cebus imitator (Panamanian white-faced capuchin), 101 nucleotides. It matches the Rfam family "Y RNA". Rfam says of the family: Y RNAs are components of the Ro ribonucleoprotein particle (Ro RNP), in association with Ro60 and La proteins. The Y RNAs and Ro60 and La proteins are well conserved, but the function of the Ro RNP is not known. Lineage: Eukaryota; Metazoa; Chordata; Mammalia; Primates; Cebidae. The record is from Ensembl.
GGCUGGUCCAAGUGCAGUGGUGUUCACAACUCAUCGAUCACAACCAGCUACAGAUUUCUCUGUUCCUUCUCUAUUACCACUGCUUCACUGACCAGCCUUUA